GAUGAACGCUGGCGGCGUGCUUAACACAUGCAAGUCGAACGGGAAAUAUUUCAUUGAGACUUCGGUGGAUUUGAUCUAUUUCUAGUGGCGGACGGGUGAGUAACGCGUGGGUAACCUGCCUUAUACAGGGGGAUAACAGUCAGAAAUGGCUGCUAAUACCGCAUAAGCGCACGGAGCUGCAUGGCUCAGUGUGAAAAACUCCGGUGGUAUAAGAUGGACCCGCGUUGGAUUAGCUAGUUGGUGAGGUAACGGCCUACCAAGGCGACGAUCCAUAGCCGGCCUGAGAGGGUGAACGGCCACAUUGGGACUGAGACACGGCCCAGACUCCUACGGGAGGCAGCAGUGGGGAAUAUUGCACAAUGGGGGAAACCCUGAUGCAGCGACGCCGCGUGAAGGAAGAAGUAUCUCGGUAUGUAAACUUCUAUCAGCAGGGAAGAUAGUGACGGUACCUGACUAAGAAGCCCCGGCUAACUACGUGCCAGCAGCCGCGGUAAUACGUAGGGGGCAAGCGUUAUCCGGAUUUACUGGGUGUAAAGGGAGCGUAGACGGUGUGGCAAGUCUGAUGUGAAAGGCAUGGGCUCAACCUGUGGACUGCAUUGGAAACUGUCAUACUUGAGUGCCGGAGGGGUAAGCGGAAUUCCUAGUGUAGCGGUGUAAUGCGUAGAUAUUAGGAGGAACACCAGUGGCGAAGGCGGCUUACUGGACGGUAACUGACGUUGAGGCUCGAAAGCGUGGGGAGCAAACAAGAUUAGAUACCCUGGUAGUCCACGCCGUAAACGAUG
This 782-nucleotide ribosomal RNA is filed under the name uncultured bacterium. Its description in RNAcentral is "bacterial SSU rRNA". It matches the Rfam family "Bacterial small subunit ribosomal RNA", at positions 28 to 811 of the family's 1533-position model. The record is from RNAcentral.